RNAcentral lists this transfer RNA (77 nucleotides) under Halobacteriovoraceae bacterium. RNAcentral's name for it is "tRNA-Arg". It matches the Rfam family "tRNA". Rfam says of the family: Transfer RNA (tRNA) molecules are approximately 80 nucleotides in length. Their secondary structure includes four short double-helical elements and three loops (D, anti-codon, and T loops). The record is from RNAcentral. RNAcentral also lists the same sequence under 1 other name. Lineage: Bacteria; Pseudomonadati; Bdellovibrionota; Bacteriovoracia; Bacteriovoracales; Halobacteriovoraceae.
GCGGCGUUAGCUCAGCUGGAUAGAGUAGUUGGCUUCGAACCAAUUGGUCGGGAGUUCGAAUCUCUCACGCCGCGCCA